CCUACGGGGGACAGCAGUGAGGAAUAUUGGUCAAUGGGCGCGAGCCUGAACCAGCCAAGUAGCGUGAAGGAUGACUGCCCUACGGGUUGUAAACUUCUUUUAUAAAGGAAUAAAGUGAGGCACGUGUGCCUUUUUGUAAGUACUUUAUGAAUAAGGAUCGGCUAACUCCGUGCCAGCAGCCGCGGUAAUACGGAGGAUCCGAGCGUUAUCCGGAUUUAUUGGGUUUAAAGGGAGCGUAGAUGGGUUGUUAAGUCAGUUGUGAAAGUUUGGGGCUCAACCGUAAAAUUGGAAUUGAUACUGGCAGGCUUUAGUACAGUUGAGGUUAGGGGAAUUCGUUGGUU
RNAcentral lists this ribosomal RNA (341 nucleotides) under uncultured bacterium. Its description in RNAcentral is "partial 16S ribosomal RNA". It matches the Rfam family "Bacterial small subunit ribosomal RNA", at positions 338 to 676 of the family's 1533-position model. The record is from RNAcentral.